This 74-nucleotide transfer RNA is filed under the name Thermoflavifilum aggregans. RNAcentral's name for it is "tRNA-His". It matches the Rfam family "tRNA". From Rfam's summary of the family: Transfer RNA (tRNA) molecules are approximately 80 nucleotides in length. Their secondary structure includes four short double-helical elements and three loops (D, anti-codon, and T loops). RNAcentral also lists the same sequence under 3 other names. The record is from RNAcentral. Lineage: Bacteria; Pseudomonadati; Bacteroidota; Chitinophagia; Chitinophagales; Chitinophagaceae.
GUGAUUGUAGCUCAGCUGGUUAGAGCGCCAGAUUGUGGCUCUGGAGGCCGAGGGUUCGAAUCCCUUCAAUCACC